RNAcentral lists this ribosomal RNA (492 nucleotides) under uncultured bacterium. RNAcentral describes it as "partial 16S ribosomal RNA". It matches the Rfam family "Bacterial small subunit ribosomal RNA", at positions 29 to 507 of the family's 1533-position model. The record is from RNAcentral.
AGUGAACGCUGGCGGUAGGCCUAACACAUGCAAGUCGAACGGCAGCACAGUAAGAGCUUGCUCUUACGGGUGGCGAGUGGCGGACGGGUGAGGAAUACAUCGGAAUCUACUUUUUCGUGGGGGAUAACGUAGGGAAACUUACGCUAAUACCGCAUACAACCUACGGGUGAAAGCAGGGGAUCUUCGGACCUUGCGCGAUUGAAUGAGCCGAUGUCGGAUUAGCUAGUUGGCGGGGUAAAGGCCCACCAAGGCGACGACCCGUAGCUGGUCUGAGAGGAUGAUCAGCCACACUGGAACUGAGACACGGUCCAGACUCCUACGGGAGGCAGCAGUGGGGAAUAUUGGACAAUGGGCGCAAGCCUGAUCCAGCCAUACCGCGUGGGUGAAGAAGGCCUUCGGGUUGUAAAGCCCCUUUGUUGGGAAAGAAAAGCAGCAGGUUAAUACCCCGCUGUUCUGACGGUACCCAAAGAAUAAGCACCGGCUAACUUCGUG